RNAcentral lists this transfer RNA (68 nucleotides) under Cordylochernes scorpioides. RNAcentral describes it as "tRNA-Thr". Lineage: Eukaryota; Metazoa; Arthropoda; Arachnida; Pseudoscorpiones; Chernetidae. The record is from RNAcentral.
AGGGAUGGGAAUCGAACCCACGACCUUCCGCUUACCGGGCAGAUGCCAUGACCACUAGCUAUAGGCUC